This 85-nucleotide transfer RNA is filed under the name Polaromonas vacuolata. RNAcentral describes it as "tRNA-Leu". It matches the Rfam family "tRNA". Rfam says of the family: Transfer RNA (tRNA) molecules are approximately 80 nucleotides in length. Their secondary structure includes four short double-helical elements and three loops (D, anti-codon, and T loops). Lineage: Bacteria; Pseudomonadati; Pseudomonadota; Betaproteobacteria; Burkholderiales; Comamonadaceae. The record is from RNAcentral.
GCCCGGGUGGUGAAAUUGGUAGACGCAGGGGACUCAAAAUCCCCCGCCGAGAGGCGUGCCGGUUCGAUUCCGGCCUCGGGCACCA